RNAcentral lists this ribosomal RNA (774 nucleotides) under uncultured Neocallimastigales. Its description in RNAcentral is "partial large subunit ribosomal RNA". It matches the Rfam family "Eukaryotic large subunit ribosomal RNA", at positions 18 to 641 of the family's 3401-position model. Lineage: Eukaryota; Fungi; Neocallimastigomycota; Neocallimastigomycetes; Neocallimastigales. The record is from RNAcentral.
CAGACGAUGCGUCAUGCAUAUCAAUAAGCGGAGGAAAAGAAACUAACAAGGAUUCCCCUAGUAACGGCGAGUGAAGCGGGAAGAGCUCAAAUUUGAAAUCUUAAAGGGUUUCCCUUUACGAAUUGUAGUUUAAAGAAGUGUUUUCUGUUGAGGUUUUGGUAAAAGUUCUUUGGAAUAGGACAUCAUAGAGGGUGAGAAUCCCGUAUUUGACCUUUACUUUCAACUUUGUGAUACACUUUCAAAGAGUCGGAUUGUUUGGGAAUGCAGUCCAAAAUGGGUGGUAAAUUUCAUCUAAAGCUAAAUAUUGGCGAGAGACCGAUAGCGAACAAGUACCGUGAGGGAAAGAUGAAAAGAACUUUGAAAAGAGAGUUAAACAGUACGUGAAAUUGUCAAAAGGGAAGCGCUUUGACACCAGUGUUGUUUUUCUGAAAAUCAAUUAAAGAACUGUUUAUGCUAGGCUGUUUAGACUUUAUCAGCUAUCUGUUUAGUUUUGAGCUUUUCUUUAAUGCACUUUUCAGUUAACAAGUCAACAUCAAUUUCUUUUGCUGUAAAAAAGCUUGAGGAAGGUGGCUUGAGAUUCGUCUUAAGUGUUUAUAGCCUCUUGCCUAUGCAGUCGGAGAGAUUGAGGUCUGCAGCGUAGAUCCUUCGGGGCUAAAUGCAUUUGUGCUAAGUUAUAGCAUUUUAUAGACAACUUGUUGACUAUGAUUUGUCUUGUAGCUUACUCGCUUAUGUUAUUUUACCUACGCUUAGGAUGUUGACACACGCGCGUGCUCG